This 957-nucleotide long non-coding RNA is filed under the name Felis catus (domestic cat). Its description in RNAcentral is "lncRNA (ENSFCAG00000042404.2)". The record is from RNAcentral. Lineage: Eukaryota; Metazoa; Chordata; Mammalia; Carnivora; Felidae.
CGAAGUCAAAGUCCGUGGCGAUGCUGCUCCUUGGGCGCUAGAAUCAGAGGGCGCUGUGUGCGUGUCCAGAGGAGAGGCGUCCGCUCCGCAUCCAGGCCCGGUGCCCCCGGCGCCCCUCCUGCUCCUUAUGCUUCUCACAGCUGCCAGACUGUCUCCCUCCCAAGGCCAUGCCUGCAGGAGCGAGGAAAGAAAAACAAGAGGAACUGGGGGAGACAAGGAGUGAGAACACGGCUCUCCGGGACUCCAUCGGAUCACAGAACAGCAGGAGGACAAGCGUGUGGAGUAGCAGCCACGGGGGCAGGGUGGCUGGUGACGCGGUCGCCCAAGGACCAGCUCUCAGCCUUCUGCUGUGCUUCCUUCCCCGGGGCCAACAGCUGAGGUCUCAUCGAAGAGCUCCCCUCUACAAGCACCGAAGGGCAUCCCUGUACCUUCCCUGGUCCUUCACGUGGCUCCCUCCUCUCCCAGCGGACAACUGGCUACCAGCAUGCGAAUCCGGGCCUGGCCCCCCUGCUCUGCUGGAUUACGGAGGAAGAGAUGAGGAAACUGGACCCCCGACUUGCCCAAAGACGAAGACCCGGUUUGAGGCUGGGGCCUUCCAAAUCACCGUCCAUGGCAUCUUCUGCCCUAGAACGCCACAUCCUCCUCAUUCCAGCCUUCCUCUCCCACCCACCCCCACCUCUCUGGCUCCAUUUCAUCCUGAUCACGAGGUCCCCAGUGGGAAUGUGUAACACCGUCAACUUCAAUCCAGCGACCCUGCUCCCAGAUAUUUGCCUAUGGGAGAGAACACAUGUGCCCUCCUACAGGCUUGGAGAUGAAUUUCUCUGCAUCUUUCCUCCUAAUAAUCAAAAAACUGAAAGCAGGUGACGGUUGACAGACGACAACACGAACUGGUGUGGGGCCAUGCAAUGGAAUAUUGCUCAUCAAUAAAAAGGAGCAAAUUGCUGAGGAAUGUGACCA